GAGGGUGUAAUUCGGACUUUUCCCUCUGGGUGAGUAUAGCAAAACUAUUCUCUCGGUUUGUUUCCAUCAUCAUCCAGCCAUCCCUGUUUCUUUUUGCUCGUCGUCUCUUCCUACUCUGGUGAAGCCAUAAUUAAAUCAACUUUCUUGGCCAUUUGGAAAACUGUAAAACGAAAACAGAUACAAAGAGAUACACGAGGAUGAACCUAAGGUGCUUUUUUCUUUUAAUGCCACAAACAUUUUCCCACCUUGCAGGUUUCAGAUUUAAAGGAAUUUCUAUGUCUAUAUCGAGUCAUCUGUAUAUCAGUGUGACUUCCUCUGUGCUUGCAGGUUUCAGCUUCUUACUGCUUCAGAGGAGCAUAGAUAUAUGGUCUUCUGUGCUUCCUUUUCGAGUCGGUGUGCUAUUUGACAAUGCAAAAUGGCUUAUCCUGAUGGAUCCUCAGAAGAAAAGCAGAAAGUUCAAUGACAGAAAACUGCUUCAUGGUUAAGAGAGCAAGUAUUGCAGCUUGGCCCAACAUUUAUCAAGCUUAGAAAGUUAUCCUCCACACGAUCUGAUUUAUUCCCAAGGGAAUUUGUCGAGGAGCUUGCAAAACUGCAGGAUAGAGUACCUGCAUUCUCUCCUAGAAAGCAAAAGCUUUCAUAAAGAAGGAAAUGGAUUGUUCCAUUGAUAGUGUACAAAGAAUUUGAAGAGCGUCCAAUAGCGGCAGCAAGUCUUCGUCAGGUGUUCAAUCCUAAACAUUAUCAGCAUCUGCAUUUUUCUACCCAGUAUCAUUGCAUACUCAGUAUACCAUGAACAUAUCAUGCAAUCAUUUUUCUCAAAGAUAUUCCCUUUCCCUGAUAUGGUUAAAUUCUGAAGAAACUAGCUCAUCAUGAUUUAGCCCCUCUUGAAGGAAAUGUGUGAUUUAGGCAAUCAGCCCCUCUUCACAUCCGUAUCUGUCCAUUCCUUUGUUUAUCAUUGGUAACAGCCUUCACAUGAUGCAUUCCUGUCCUAUGGAAACCAACACUGACGAUAUUAAUGGUUCUUAUUUGGGAACAGUUUACUAAAUUCAAUGUCCUAGAUGAUACUUAUGAUGUAUUUGCUGAUUUAUACUUCCACAUUGCUUUGUGUUUUAUAUUCGGGUACAUCGUGCAGUGCUCCAUAAUGGUGAACGAGUUGCAGUCGAAGUUCAGCGACCAGGCCCAAAAAAAUUUACAGUUCAUCUUACUUAGGUCACUGUCAAAAAGUUUUGGUGACAUAUACAUUUGGUGAUAUAUACAAAUCGUGACACAUACAAAUUACCGAGGUUGGGAAUGAUGGGGCCUAUCAUGUGGAGUAGAAUUGGAGCUGACACGGAUAGUCACACCUCGUCAUGGUUACUUCUUUUGAGCCCUACAGAGCUGUGUCCCUGCUACUGCUAAUGUCUUCCUUUAUAAAUGAUUUUCUUGAAUUCAUGUGAAUUAAAUCCUUGGCCUCAAUGUUUGUGUCGCCAUGGACUACUGUAAAUAAUAUGUUUGCUUAUGCUGCAAUUAUGUCAA
Panicum virgatum (switchgrass) is the source of this 1512-nucleotide long non-coding RNA. RefSeq lists it as uncharacterized. NCBI's taxonomy places the organism in Eukaryota, Viridiplantae, Streptophyta, Magnoliopsida, Poales, Poaceae. The record is from RefSeq and is a predicted model, not a curated record. The transcript is spliced from 3 exons.